GCUGGUCGUGGUGAUGCCUGCCUGUAGUCCCAGCAACUUGGGAGGCUGAGGCAGGAGGAUUGCAAGUUCAAGGCCAGCUUCAGCAACUUAGUGAAACUCUGUCUCUA
RNAcentral lists this small RNA (107 nucleotides) under Marmota monax (woodchuck). Lineage: Eukaryota; Metazoa; Chordata; Mammalia; Rodentia; Sciuridae. The record is from RNAcentral.